CAGGUAACGCCUGGGCAGAGUAAUUUGACGGAAAGUGCCACAGAAAUUAUACCGCCAAUUUAUUGGUAAGGGUGAAAUGGUGCGGUAAGAGCGCACCGCUUUGUUGGCAACAACAAAGGCAGGGUAAACCCCACCGGGAGCAAAAUCAAGUAGGAGUUCUAUGAUACUGCUCGUAUCGAACUUGGGUUGAUUGCUAGAGUGUUUUGGCGACAAAACAUCGAGAUGAAUGAUUGUCCUCGACAGAACCCGGCUUAUGUGCUUUCCUAUUAG
RNAcentral lists this RNase P RNA (270 nucleotides) under Gammaproteobacteria bacterium. RNAcentral's name for it is "partial RNase P RNA component class A". It matches the Rfam family "Bacterial RNase P class A", at positions 75 to 367 of the family's 367-position model. Rfam says of the family: Ribonuclease P (RNase P) is a ubiquitous endoribonuclease, found in archaea, bacteria and eukarya as well as chloroplasts and mitochondria. Its best characterised activity is the generation of mature 5'-ends of tRNAs by cleaving the 5'-leader elements of precursor-tRNAs. Lineage: Bacteria; Pseudomonadati; Pseudomonadota; Gammaproteobacteria. The record is from RNAcentral.